Molecule: long non-coding RNA, 1375 nt
Filed under: Physcomitrium patens
Lineage: Eukaryota; Viridiplantae; Streptophyta; Bryopsida; Funariales; Funariaceae
Description: long non-coding RNA (PPAT_LNC009317)
Source: RNAcentral
CCCAAUUCCAAUCGUUCUUGGCCUUCAUUUGAUAAAGCUAAGGUCAUCCCAAUAAAAUUGGAUAUGAUAAAGUUGAACGUUAUAAUUGAAAGAUGAUGUAGUCAAUUUUAUAUACAAUACCGACAAUUAUAGUUUGAAUACUCCGUUGUCGUAAUAUGUGAAGUCUUGAUUGAGAAUGCUCCAAGCAUUUGGCUGUGGAAGGAAGAAUGGAAAUUGCAAUAACAAAAUCCUAAUUCUAAUAGAAUACUAACAAUGCUCUAAUUAGACCAUAAUAAUGCUAAGCAAGCUUAAUCAAAUUUAAAAAAACCUCAAAGAAAUUUCAAACAAAUAAUAAGAAUUCUUAAAGAAAUAUUAGAAGGAUGACAAAUAUCACUCAAAUACAUCUCAAUUCAAUCUUAAUUUAAUUCUAGUUAAAAUCCUAUUGAACUUCAUUCAAACUUUCGGCCAAAAGUAAUUGAAUCUUAAAUCCUAAUAAAAUCCUAAACCCUGAAUCAUACCCUAAACAAAUCUUAAACCAAAUCCCAACUAAAUCCUAAACCAAAUCCUAAAUCAAACCCUAACCAAAUCCUAAACCAAACCCUAAUCCAAACCCUAAACCCUAAACCAAAUCCUAAUCCAAAUCUUAAACCCUAAAUCAUACUCUAACCAAAUCCUGAUCUAAACACUAAAUCCUAAUCAAAUCCUAAACCUUAAACCAAAUCCUAACUAAACCCUAAAUCCUAAAUCAAAUCCUAAACAAACCCUAAUUUAAACCCUAAAUCCUAAACCAAAUCCUAAACCCUAAAUAAACCCCAACCAAAUCCUAAACCAAAUCCUAGUAAUUCCUAUAAUAGAUUUAAAUCUCAAUAACUAAUGAAUAAACCGUUGAUCUAAACUCAAAUUUUGCACACUUCUAAAAAAAUAAGUUAGAAACAAGCACAAAAAAAUUGAAAAGGAUCGGAAUUACCAAAUUGACGAUAACCUCAAAAAUGUGCUCGUGUAUUGGCUGGCCUCCUUCUCCAAUCUUGAUGCCAAUCUUCCAGAGCCAAUAUCUCUCUUUUGCGCCUUUCGAUUGAUCUCAAAAUUCUCAUACACAUAGAAAAACAAGUCUAAUAUCCUCUAACAUAAGUUUCACUCCAAUCCAACUAGUAGAUUGUAAGAAAUCUCAAAAACCCCCACUGGACCUAAAAUUCUACUUUCUAAGAUCUUAACCCACUUAAAUCUCAAUAUUCCUCAAUUUAACCGUUAGAUCAAGCUCAAAUUUAUGAAACAUAUUAAACAAAAUUAUAACCAUAAACCUACAAAAUUUCACCUAUAGAUCUUUACAAAACUCUUGAAAUCAUCCAAAACAUAAAUCCUAUUUUAUUUCAUAAAACCUAAGUUAUCCGAAACAAAC